RNAcentral lists this signal recognition particle RNA (97 nucleotides) under Piscirickettsiaceae bacterium. Its description in RNAcentral is "signal recognition particle sRNA small type". It matches the Rfam family "Bacterial small signal recognition particle RNA". From Rfam's summary of the family: The signal recognition particle (SRP) is a universally conserved ribonucleoprotein involved in the co-translational targeting of proteins to membranes. Archaeal SRP consists of a 7S RNA and homologues of the eukaryotic SRP19 and SRP54 proteins. In most bacteria, the SRP consists of a 4.5S RNA and the Ffh protein (a homologue of the eukaryotic SRP54 protein). The record is from RNAcentral. Lineage: Bacteria; Pseudomonadati; Pseudomonadota; Gammaproteobacteria; Thiotrichales; Piscirickettsiaceae.
UGCCGGUUACCUCGCGACGAUAAGUUGGUCAACCCGUCAGACCCGGAAGGGAGCAGCGGAACCUUCGGAUUCGGGCGCCGAGAUUUGGCUGGUACGG